Sorex fumeus (smoky shrew) is the source of this 102-nucleotide small nuclear RNA. Lineage: Eukaryota; Metazoa; Chordata; Mammalia; Eulipotyphla; Soricidae. The record is from RefSeq and is a predicted model, not a curated record.
UCACUUUAGCAGUACAUACACUAAAAUUGGAACCUUACAUAGAAGAUUAACUGGCCCUUGCGGAAGGAUGGCAUGCGAAUUUGUGAAGUGCUCCAUAAUUUU